GCCUAUUGUCUACCUAUGCUAAUUAGAAUUCUGAUGCUUAACAGGGCUCCCAACAUCCUUCUGGUGAGAUAUUACCCCUUGCCCAUUAGACUCUCAUUAUGAAAAAGACAAAAGGUCAGUGUCAGAAAGGGUGAAGAGAAAAAGGAUCUCUUAUACAUUGCUGUGGGAAUCUGCAUUGGGGUACCCAUUGGAAAACAAUAUGGAGUUCCUCCAAAAAGUUAAAAAUAAAACUAGUGUAUGAUCCAGCAACCUCAUGUCUAGAUAUGUAUCCAAAGGAAACACAGUUAAAAUGUCAAGGAGAUAUCUGUGCUCCUAUUUUCAAAGCGGGAUUAAAUAAAAUAGAGAAGACAUAUUAUAGCCUAAGUAUAUUGAUGGACAAAAAGUUACAGAAAAUGUGAUAUACACACUCCAUAGUAUUAUUGAGCCUUUAAAAAGAAGAAAAUUCUUUCAUUUGCAAAAAUUAAUGAUGAACUGGAAGUUCGUUAUGCUAGGUGGAAUAAAACAAGCACUGAAAGACGAACCUGCGUAGACUCAUAUAUAUAUAAAGCAGAGAACAGAGCAGUGUUUGCCAGAGGCUGUCAGAGGGCAGGAGGGGAAGAGGAAUGGAUGCUGGCCAAAUAGUCCAAAGUUUCACUGGAAUAAGGUAAAUAAGUUCUGUAGAUCUACUGUGCAGCCUGGUAACUACAGUUAAUAGUCAAGUAUUGUUUAGGAGAAAAUUGCUCAAAGGGAGAAAAGUCAGUGCUUAUUGAAUGUCUGAAAUGUCAGAGAGAGAAUAGUCGGUGCUUAUUGAAUGUGCAUAUUUUAUACAAAUUUUAUUAAGUAAUUCAAACAGCUAUAUGAAUAGUUCUUUUGUUACACCCACUUGAAGAAGACAGCAAGACACAGAAAGCUGAAACUGUGUUCCAAGUUUAACCAGCAAAUGAAUGGUAGAGGUGGAAUUCAGAAUUGAGCGGUUGGAUCACAAAGACUGUGUUUAUUCCUAAAUAUUUUGUCAUCUAAGGUAGACAUUUAAAAAUGUGACUCAAAACAUUAUGGGAGAGCAUUUGUUUAUGAAAAGAGAAAAUGAGUUCUUAGUGGAAGUACUGAAAGGAAAAAUGAGAAUACAUUUUUUAAGUAUCAAGGGUAACUAAACCAGUCAUGUAAAUUUUCAAUUAUUUGGGUUUUAAAUGCUUACUGGUACUAUUCAAAAACUAAACGUGUCAUGAAAUCACUAUGAUAUUAUUGUAAAAAGCAUGACCAUUUUCAAUAUGGAAUUGAAUUUCAGCUUUAUCACUCCCUGUCUGAGCAACUUUCAGUGUUGGGUCUAUUUUUUUAAAGAGUAUGAAGUGAGAACAUCUUUUGAG
This 1343-nucleotide long non-coding RNA is filed under the name Marmota monax (woodchuck). The record is from RNAcentral. Lineage: Eukaryota; Metazoa; Chordata; Mammalia; Rodentia; Sciuridae.